This 253-nucleotide ribosomal RNA is filed under the name uncultured bacterium. RNAcentral describes it as "partial 16S ribosomal RNA". It matches the Rfam family "Bacterial small subunit ribosomal RNA", at positions 524 to 776 of the family's 1533-position model. The record is from RNAcentral.
GGCAGAGGGUGCAAACGUUGUUCGGAAUUACUGGGCGUAAAGCGUGUGUAGGCGGUCCACUAAGUCGGGUGUGAAAGCCCUGGGCUCAACCCAGGAAGUGCACUCGAAACUGGCGGGCUAGAGUAUCGGAGAGGUUGGUGGAAUUCUCGGUGUAGAGGUGAAAUUCGUAGAUAUCGAGAGGAACACCGGUGGCGAAGGCGGCCAACUGGACGAAUACUGACGCUGAGACACGAAAGCGUGGGGAGCAAACAGG